UUUUUUCAUUGUUUAAGAUGAAAGUUUUUCUUUUGCUUAUAUUUUUUGCUAUUAUUCUGUCCUUCGACGCAGCAGAAGUCAAGGAAUGUCCGUUAAGUCACAAGAAAAAACAUCAUAAAAAACAUUCCCAAAGAAAACAAAGAGAUAUUAAUACAUUUUUGGGAGAUAUGAGAGACGAUGUGGAUAAGGUUGUUUUGGGCCAUAGUUUCUGAUAGAUUAAAAGAUCACAACAUGAAGUCCCUUGUACUAAAAUUUUAAAUAAUUUAAAUUAUCACAAAUAUUCAUAUCAAUUCUGCACUGAAUUUUUUUUGUAUUUUUCUCACUUUUGAAUAUUUAGUCAUUUUAGUCAUGGAUAUUAUAAUAAAUUAUAACUAACAAGUUUUAAUUUAUUUAAUAUUUAAAUUUAGAUAAUAAAAUAUGAUUAAUGAAAUUGUAUUUUUUAUUAAAUAUACGUAUAAAAUUUCUGUAAA
Long non-coding RNA from Centruroides sculpturatus (bark scorpion), 470 nucleotides. RefSeq lists it as uncharacterized. The transcript is spliced from 5 exons. The record is from RefSeq and is a predicted model, not a curated record. Lineage: Eukaryota; Metazoa; Arthropoda; Arachnida; Scorpiones; Buthidae.